RNAcentral lists this ribosomal RNA (552 nucleotides) under Alternaria sp. AX35. RNAcentral's name for it is "eukaryotic LSU rRNA". The stretch from base 222 to 375 matches the Rfam family "5.8S ribosomal RNA". Lineage: Eukaryota; Fungi; Ascomycota; Dothideomycetes; Pleosporales; Pleosporaceae. The record is from RNAcentral.
UGGAAGUAAUAUGUCGUAACAAGGUCUCCGUAGGUGAACUUGCGGAGGGAUCAUCACACAAAUAUGAAGGCGGGCUGGAACCUCUCGGGGUUACAGCCUUGCUGAAUUAUUCACCCUUGUCUUUUGCGUACUUCUUGUUUCCUUGGUGGGUUCGCCCACCACUAGGACAAACAUAAACCUUUUGUAAUUGCAAUCAGCGUCAGUAACAAAUUAAUAAUUACAACUUUCAACAACGGAUCUCUUGGUUCUGGCAUCGAUGAAGAACGCAGCGAAAUGCGAUAAGUAGUGUGAAUUGCAGAAUUCAGUGAAUCAUCGAAUCUUUGAACGCACAUUGCGCCCUUUGGUAUUCCAAAGGGCAUGCCUGUUCGAGCGUCAUUUGUACCCUCAAGCUUUGCUUGGUGUUGGGCGUCUUGUCUCUAGCUUUGCUGGAGACUCGCCUUAAAGUAAUUGGCAGCCGGCCUACUGGUUUCGGAGCGCAGCACAAGUCGCACUCUCUAUCAGCAAAGGUCUAGCAUCCAUUAAGCCUUUUUUUCAACUUUGACCUCGGAUCAG